This 501-nucleotide ribosomal RNA is filed under the name uncultured bacterium. RNAcentral's name for it is "bacterial SSU rRNA". It matches the Rfam family "Bacterial small subunit ribosomal RNA", at positions 29 to 531 of the family's 1533-position model. The record is from RNAcentral.
AACGAACGCUGGCGGCGUGCUUAACACAUGCAAGUCGAACGCGAAAGGGACUUCGGUCCUGAGUAAAGUGGCGCACGGGUGAGUAACGCGUAGAUAACCUGUCUUCGAGUCUGGAAUAAUACACCGAAAGGGGUACUAAUACCGGAUAUUCUUUCACUUCAUAAGGAGUGCAAGCAAAGGUGGCCUCUGUAUAUGCUACUGCUUGAAGAGGGGUCUGCGUACCAUUAGCUAGUAGGUAGGGUAAAGGCCUACCAAGGCAAUGACGGGUAGGGGGCGUGAGAGCGUGACCCCCCACACUGGUACUGACACACGGACCAGAUGCCUACGGGUAGCAGCAGCUAGGAAUAUUGGGCAAUGGGCGAAAGCCUGACCCAGCAACACCGCGUGAAGGACGACGGCCUUCGGGUUGUAAACUUCUUUUCGAGGGAAUGGAGAAAGGACAGUACCCUCGGAAUAAGGCCCGGCUAACUACGUGCCAGCAGCCGCGGUAACUAGUCUACG